UAACAGUUUUGGUGAUAGAGAGUUUGAGCGCGCGAUUGUGUCACUUUCGUCAAAAUAAGUUUUGGUGCCAAAACUCUCCGCACACUAAAAAUCCAUUUUAGUUUUUUCCCUCUCAUUUCAAACCCUUUCUCUCUCUCUCUCUCUUUCUCUUUAAACGCUUUUCACCUUCCCUCCUAUUCUUCCUCCUUUCAAAACCCUAACUCCCACACCAAUUUUUUUUCCCUAAUUUAAAACCCCAACGCUUUCCUCACCAAAAUCGUGCCUAAUUUUUCAACCUCGUCGCUGAAUUCAAUGUGUCUCUCACUGCCUUCGCCCGCUGACGCCGCAGCGGAGCCGGUGGAUGCUCCUCCCGCACCGAAUCUCUUUCUCCAAACCCUAGAAAACGCCGAAUCGACCGUUCACGCUGCUCUACACGCACGUGAUCGCGUUCACGCUGUACGAGUUGGAGACCAUAACGAAGAGCUUCCGCGGCAACUACAUCCUCGGCGAGGGAGGGUUCGAACCGUUUACAAAGGCUACAUUGAUGAGAACGUGAGAGUGGGACUCAAAUGGCUACCUGUAGCGGUCAAAGUGUUGAACAAGGAGGGACUGCAGGGACAUUGCGAGUGGCUCGUGCAUUUUGCGUCUUGCAUUUUGCGUUUUGCGUUUUGCAUCUUUUUUUAUUUUAGUUUGUCUGGUUAAUUUUUUUGUGUGUGUGUUUUUGUGGUGCAGACGGAGGUGAAUUUUCUAGGGCAGCUUAGGCAUCCUAAUCUGGUGAAGUUGAUUGGGUACUCCUGGCACUCUUCUUCAGAUCUUUCAGGUCAUCGGAAGUGAGGGUUGGGGUGGACUCUAUAGUGGGCUCAAGCCUUCUCUUCUUGGAACUGUUGCUUCUCAGGGCAUUUACUAUUAUUUCUAUCAAGUUUUCAAGAACAAGGCUGUGGCCAUUGCAGCUGCGCGGAAAGUGAAAGGGCAUGGAAAUGGUAUUGUUGGGAUGUUUGGUUGGCUUCUUGUGGCUGCAAUUGAUGGCAUGUUUAUCUAAAACAUGUUUAUACUGAUCUUGGUGCCAGUCGUGCUUGGGACAUGAGAACAAUGGAAUCUCUUUGCCGAGCAUGUAAAUAUGCAGUGAGUAAGCUUGACCAUUAACUCAAUUCCAUUUUCACAAUGACAAUAUGUAGAAAUAAUUAAUAAUGCUGAGACAAUAGUUGGUAUUGAGUCAUUCAAUUUGGAAUAGGCAUUAAUCUUAUAUUUCCUUUUUACUGCAAUUUUUGUGUGUGGUUGCAACCCAUGUUUAUUAUGGCUUAAUCUGUCAUAUGUUCAUUAUUAUAUUCAGAUUAAAUAUUUUGGAGGUACCUACUUUGUGCAUUUAAAAAAUACUUCUUGGUUUGAAUGAACAAGAAAUGGGUAGUUCUCUCUAAUCUUCAUUUCUAGAUCAACAUUUCCUGCAUUUUUCUUGGUUGGUUCAAG
Non-coding RNA from Cajanus cajan (pigeon pea), 1443 nucleotides. The record is from RefSeq and is a predicted model, not a curated record. Lineage: Eukaryota; Viridiplantae; Streptophyta; Magnoliopsida; Fabales; Fabaceae.